Molecule: long non-coding RNA, 466 nt
Filed under: Mus pahari (shrew mouse)
Lineage: Eukaryota; Metazoa; Chordata; Mammalia; Rodentia; Muridae
Description: lncRNA (MGP_PahariEiJ_G0006474.1)
Source: RNAcentral
AACAGGCCUCAAAGCACUGUGCUCUAUCUGCCCUCCCUACACAAAGUGGUUAAUUGGGGCCUUUUCCUCUCCUGUGGCCUGAUGAGGCAUCGUCAGAGACUGUGGUCCAUACCAGUUGUUCCUGAAAAAGUCUGGCUGAGUGCUCACCACAUAGCUGAGAAGAGAACAGGAAACAGGAGUGGGACCUGAUACGGAACUGCAACUCCUAUUAAUGGCUGUGAAGUGCCCAGGAUGUCAUAAAAUCAACCCAGUCUUCAGCCAUAAACAAAGGGCAGUCUCAUGUGUUGGCUGCUGUACUGCCCUGUCAGCCUACAGAAGGAAAAGCAAGGCUGACCUCGCCUGCAGGACAUAGCACUCAAAGCACCUUGGUUCAAGAUGAGUGGGGAAUUAUCCCAAUAAACACAUCAUGAAUUUAAAAAGAACAGCAUUGCUUCAAAUGAGAUAAAUUUUAAAUAUAUAUUUUGGU